This 450-nucleotide ribosomal RNA is filed under the name uncultured bacterium. Its description in RNAcentral is "partial 16S ribosomal RNA". It matches the Rfam family "Bacterial small subunit ribosomal RNA", at positions 354 to 796 of the family's 1533-position model. The record is from RNAcentral.
GUGGGGAAUAUUGGACAAUGGGCGAAAGCCUGAUCCAGCCAUGCCGCGUGUGUGAAGAAGGUCUUCGGAUUGUAAAGCACUUUAAGUUGGGAGGAAGGGCAGUAAGUUAAUACCUUGCUGUUUUGACGUUACCAACAGAAUAAGCACCGGCUAACUUCGUGCCAGCAGCCGCGGUAAUACGAAGGGUGCAAGCGUUAAUCGGAAUUACUGGGCGUAAAGCGCGCGUAGGUGGUUCAGCAAGUUGAAGGUGAAAUCCCCGGGCUCAACCUGGGAACUGCCUCCAAAACUACUGAGCUGGAGUACGGUAGAGGGGAGUGGAAUUUCCUGUGUAGCGGUGAAAUGCGUAGAUAUAGGAAGGAACACCAGUGGCGAAGGCGACUACCUGGACUGAUACUGACACUGAGGUGCGAAAGCGUGGGGAGCAAACAGGAUUAGAUACCCCUGUAGUCC